This 248-nucleotide ribosomal RNA is filed under the name uncultured Gardnerella sp. Its description in RNAcentral is "partial 16S ribosomal RNA". It matches the Rfam family "Bacterial small subunit ribosomal RNA", at positions 107 to 355 of the family's 1533-position model. Lineage: Bacteria; Bacillati; Actinomycetota; Actinomycetes; Bifidobacteriales; Bifidobacteriaceae. The record is from RNAcentral.
GGAGUAAUGCGUGACCAACCUGCCCCAUGCUCCAGAAUAGCUCUUGGAAACGGGUGGUAAUGCUGGAUGCUCCAACUUGACGCAUGUCUUGUUGGGAAAGUGUUUAGUGGCAUGGGAUGGGGUCGCGUCCUAUCAGCUUGUAGGCGGGGUAAUGGCCCACCUAGGCUUCGACGGGUAGCCGGCCUGAGAGGGCGGACGGCCACAUUGGGACUGAGAUACGGCCCAGACUCCUACGGGAGGCAGCAGCA